This 492-nucleotide ribosomal RNA is filed under the name uncultured bacterium. RNAcentral's name for it is "partial 16S ribosomal RNA". It matches the Rfam family "Bacterial small subunit ribosomal RNA", at positions 29 to 507 of the family's 1533-position model. The record is from RNAcentral.
AGUGAACGCUGGCGGUAGGCCUAACACAUGCAAGUCGAACGGCAGCACAGUAAGAGCUUGCUCUUACGGGUGGCGAGUGGCGGACGGGUGAGGAAUAAAUCGGAAUCUACUUUUUCGUGGGGGAUAACGUAGGGAAACUUACGCUAAUACCGCAUACGACCUACGGGUGAAAGCAGGGGAUCUUCGGACCUUGCGCGAUUGAAUGAGCCGAUGUCGGAUUAGCUAGUUGGCGGGGUAAAGGCCCACCAAGGCGACGAUCCGUAGCUGGUCUGAGAGGAUGAUCAGCCACACUGGAACUGAGACACGGUCCAGACUCCUACGGGAGGCAGCAGUGGGGAAUAUUGGACAAAGGGCGCAAGCCUGAUCCAGCCACACCGCGUGGGUGAAGAAGGCCUUCGGGUUGUAAAGCCCUUUUGUUGGGAAAGAAAAGCAGCAGGUUAAUACCCCGCUGUUCUGACGGUACCCAAAGAAUAAGCACCGGCUAACUUCGUG